UAUGUUGAGUACUUGUCAAUUCCUUUUCUUGUAGGCUAGAGAAGCCUAGAAAAAGGCCUUGCAGAAAUGAGUUAGUAGACUAAAGCAGCAUUUGAAAACAUGAAGUUUAACAAGUUCUACUCAGUCCAGACCGAUGAUACUCCUGACAUAUCAAAUGUUAAGGCACCGUUUAUAAACAGGUAUUAUGGGAAAGCUCAUGAAGUUCUGUGAUUGGGCUCAUCAACCACCAGUAUUUCUACUGCAAAAGAUGCCAAUUGGUUUGCAUUGGGGACUAUAGUUAGCUAUUGAUUCUAGGAUAUGUUUCAUGAUGAAAGUUCAUAAUGGAACCCUAAAUGUGUGCUAAAUCUGGUGGUUUUUUCUUGGUUUCUCAAUUUGUCUUACCUUUCCAAUUUAUGUACUUUGUUAGAAGUUCUAAUUUUGUCCCAUCAACAUUAUUUCUUGUAUUCCCAAAAGGUUCAAUUCUGCCAAUGCCAUGAAAUACAAAUAGUUAUUGAUCA
This is a long non-coding RNA of Vitis vinifera (wine grape), 497 nucleotides long. RefSeq lists it as uncharacterized. The transcript is spliced from 2 exons. Lineage: Eukaryota; Viridiplantae; Streptophyta; Magnoliopsida; Vitales; Vitaceae. The record is from RefSeq and is a predicted model, not a curated record.